Molecule: long non-coding RNA, 1224 nt
Filed under: Homo sapiens (human)
Lineage: Eukaryota; Metazoa; Chordata; Mammalia; Primates; Hominidae
Description: long intergenic non-protein coding RNA 635
Source: RNAcentral
GAGAACAGCAUGUGGGAAACCAGGGAAACUGUCCCCAUGAUCCAGUGACCUCCCACCAGGUCCCUCCCUUGACACAACAGAGAUUACAAUUUGAGAUGAGAUUUGGAUGGAGACACAGAGCCAAACCAUAUUAAGCCUGUUCUGCUGGGACACAGAAUCACUUGCUCCAUCUCAUACAUUGAUGAUGAUUAAUUUGUAUGUGUACCUUCCAAAAAAGAUGGUUGUGUUUGAAUGGAGGCCUUCUGGACAGGAAAAUAUGGAGAGUGCGUGCUUUGGAUUCAAGACUGGGAAUGAGGGGACCAGAAACCUAUUCUGUGGCUGUUUCUUGUUAGGACUUUCCUAAGCCUCUGGAAAAGAAUCACAUCCUUCCUGAGAUAAUGAGCACACAAUUGCCUGGAUACCUGAAGGAAUGGAGACAGCGGCAGAAAACACUGCAGAGAGGUGGAAACAUCCGUUAAUAUUUUAAAAUCCCAUUACUGCUACCAACAAUAAUAAUGGAUGCAUAGAAAUAGAUCUGGAUUAGCUGAGCUUGAAACAGUCCAUCUCACACACACACAAAAGAAUUUCAGAUACAGUGAACCCACAUGUUGAAGCUUUCUAGUAUAAUAAAAAUUUCAACUGUUCUGUUGAAUCAUCUGCCUGAUUGGAGGCUACAGAAAAGAUGUCAUCUUAGGAGUGCUUGCUCUGAGUGAGGCUCAUCUUCAAAUCUGAAUGACCACAAGGAGAUUUGAUUAUACAUGUGAACACCUCAGAAGGCACAGCCCACCCAGAAGGCAGACAGGUCAGGCUGCUUUUUCUUCAUUGCUUGGAUUCAAUCCUCCGGGCGGCUCAGGCUCAAACAUAACUUAAGCAUGAUUAAACUUUAGAAGAAGCUGCCAGGAAGACUGUGAAAUCUUCAUGCCCAAGGAUCCCUAAAAUUAGGAGCAACAACCACUUGGCUCAGACGGUUUAUGGAGGCAAAGGUUUGGAUGGGAUUAGAGAUUUCUAAAUGUGAGUUCGUGUCCUCUGCCAGACCACCUUACUUCCACCAUUCCUCAGCAAAUCAAGAAAAACAGGAGAAAAGACAUGCCUUUCCAUAAGUUAAAUCUAUUCUGUUUUAAUUCUAUAUUAUAUCUGCUGUACAACUUCUUUUGUUUGUAACACCAUAUUGUUGCUAGUAACUGGAAAUUAAUUUUCACAUGCCUCAGCUUAGAAAAAUAAAAAGCAGCCCUGCAUCAAUCCCAA